GUUUCUUGGAUGGCCCAAUUCUCUGGUGACUUUGAGAGUUCAGCCCAGAGUCCAUUUCUUCCCAAUGACUCAAGGAACUAUCUGUGUGUCUUGAGAAAUUCCUGGUUUAAACCAGCUAGAGUGGACUCUGUUGUCUGUAACCAAGAACAGUGAGAGACACAACAGUGCCUUAGUUGUGGCCGAUACAAGACCACAAACAUCUUGGAUCAGGCACUCUUUAGGCAUCACUUCGGACCCUUUCAGCCACGCCUGACUUUAAUUCACACGUGGUGACCAGCCCUGCCUCUGACUAGCUGCAUGCAGAGGCAAACCUCGUGCCUCACAUCCUAAGGACUCUGUCUUCGCUGCAGCGUGGGACCCUGCAGGCACCGCCUGGCAUCCUGAGACAGGCUCUCACUUUGUUGCCCAGGCUGGUUUUGAAC
Molecule: non-coding RNA, 422 nt
Organism: Microcebus murinus (gray mouse lemur)
Lineage: Eukaryota; Metazoa; Chordata; Mammalia; Primates; Cheirogaleidae
Source: RefSeq, a predicted model, not a curated record